CCGAAAGGCGUAGGUGAUGGACAACAGGUUGAUAUUCCUGUACUACCGAUAACCGUUUGAGAGAAGGGAUGACACAGUAGGAUAAGCUAAGCACACUGUUGGUUAUGUGUGCCCAAGCAUUGAGGCAGUCAAAGUAGGCAAAUCCGCUUUGAUAAUGCUGGGAUGUGAUGGGGAGCGAAAUUUAGUAGCGAAGUAGCUGAUUUCACACUGUCAAGAAAAGUCUCUAUCGAGGUUAAAGGUACCCGUACCGCAAACCGACACAGGUGGGUGAGGAGAGUAUCCUAAGGCCAGCGAGAGAACUGUUGUUAAGGAACUCGGCAAAAUGACCCCGUAACUUAGGGAUAAGGGGUGCCACCAUCAGGUGGCCGCAGAGAAUAGGCCCAAGCGACUGUUUACCAAAAACAUAGGUUUCUGCUAAGUCGCAAGACGAUGUAUAGGAGCUGACGCCUGCCCGGUGCUGGAAGGUUAAGGGGAUCUGUUAGAGCAAUCGAAGCAGUGAACUUAAGCCCCAGUAAACGGCGGCCGUAACUAUAACGGUCCUAAGGUAGCGAAAUUCCUUGUCGGGUAAGUUCCGACCCGCACGAAAGGCGUAACGAUUUGGGCACUGUCUCAACAACAGACUCGGUGAAAUUGUAAUUCCGGUGAAGAUGCCGGAUACCUGCGACAGGACGGAAAGACCCCAUGGAGCUUUACUGUAGCUUGACAUUGGGUCUUGGUACUACAUGUACAGGAUAGGUGGGAGGCUUUGAAACCAGGACGCCAGUUUUGGCGGAGCCAUCCUUGGGAUACCACCCUUGUAGUACUGGGACUCUAACCAUAGGCCAUGAAUCUGGUCUUGGGACACUGUCAGGUGGGCAGUUUGACUGGGGCGGUCGCCUCCCAAAAGGUAACGGAGGCGCUCAAAGGUUCUCUCAGUACGGUCGGAAAUCGUACGUAGAGUGUAAAGGCAAAAGAGAGCUUGAUUGCAAGACAUACAGGUCGAGCAAGGAUGAAAAUCGGACUUAGUGAUCCGGUGGUUCUGCGUGGAAGGGCCAUCGCUCAACGGAUAAAAGCUACCCUGGGGAUAACAGGCUUAUCUCCCCCAAGAGUCCACAUCGACGGGGAGGUUUGGCACCUCGAUGUCGGCUCAUCACAUCCUGGGGCUGUAGUAGGUCCCAAGGGUUGGGCUGUUCGCCCAUUAAAGUGGUACGCGAGCUGGGUUCAGAACGUCGUGAGACAGUUCGGUCCCUAUCCGUCGCAGGCGUAGGAAAUUUGAGAAGACCUGUCCUUAGUACGAGAGGACCGGGAUGGACGUACCUCUGGUGUACCAGUUGUCCUGCCAAGGGCAUGGCUGGGUAGCUAUGUACGGAAUGGAUAAGCGCUGAAAGCAUCUAAGCGCGAAGCCAACUUCAAGAUAAGAUUUCCCACCGCAAGGGUAAGACCCCAGAAAGACUAUCUGGUUGAUAGGUCGAAGGUGUAAGUGUAGCAAUGUAUUUAGCUUAUCGAUACUAAUAGGUCGAGGACUUGACC
RNAcentral lists this ribosomal RNA (1509 nucleotides) under Clostridioides difficile. Its description in RNAcentral is "bacterial LSU rRNA". It matches the Rfam family "Bacterial large subunit ribosomal RNA", at positions 1402 to 2925 of the family's 2925-position model. Lineage: Bacteria; Bacillati; Bacillota; Clostridia; Peptostreptococcales; Peptostreptococcaceae. The record is from RNAcentral.